Molecule: unclassified non-coding RNA, 245 nt
Filed under: Hevea brasiliensis (rubber tree)
Lineage: Eukaryota; Viridiplantae; Streptophyta; Magnoliopsida; Malpighiales; Euphorbiaceae
Source: RNAcentral
CAGAAACCAAAGAAGCAGAAACCUGACUCCAUUUCAACUGUUGUCACACCAACUGUUGCCAUGCCAAUUUCUACUGCUGAUCCAAAACCCAAUUUGUCAUCUUCCUCAUUCCGUGGAGAUAGUUGGUCUCCUUUGCCAUCAGAUUCGAGGAAUAAGCCAACUGAUAUUAAUGUGUCUUUGCCAGCAGGUUAAAUUGGUUCACUUUACGGGUGGAUUAAUCUGUUCAUCACUGACGACGAGGCUCC